RNAcentral lists this ribosomal RNA (497 nucleotides) under uncultured bacterium. RNAcentral's name for it is "partial 16S ribosomal RNA". It matches the Rfam family "Bacterial small subunit ribosomal RNA", at positions 28 to 507 of the family's 1533-position model. The record is from RNAcentral.
GAUGAACGCUGGCGGCGUGCCUAAUACAUGCAAGUCGAGCGAACAGACGAGGAGCUUGCUCCUCUGACGUUAGCGGCGGACGGGUGAGUAACACGUGGAUAACCUACCUAUAAGACUGGGAUAACUUCGGGAAACCGGAGCUAAUACCGGAUAAUAUAUUGAACCGCAUGGUUCAAUAGUGAAAGACGGUUUUGCUGUCACUUAUAGAUGGAUCCGCGCCGAAUUAGCUAGUUGGUAAGGUAACGGCUUACCAAGGCAACGAUGCGUAGCCGACCUGAGAGGGUGAUCGGCCACACUGGAACUGAGACACGGUCCAGACUCCUACGGGAGGCGGCAGUAGGGAAUCUUCCGCAAUGGGCGAAAGCUUGACGGAGCAACGCCGCGUGAGUGAUGAAGGUCUUCGGAUCGUAAAACUCUGUUAUUAGGGAAGAACAAAUGUGUAAGUAACUAUGCACGUCUUGACGGUACCUAAUCAGAAAGCCACGGCUAACUACGUG